UAAGCAUGAAGCCCCCCUCAAGAUGAGAUUUCCCAACUUCGGUUAUAAGAUCCCUCAAAGAUGAUGAGGUUAAUAGGUUCGAGGUGGAAGCAUGGUGACAUGUGGAGCUGACGAAUACUAAUCGAUCGAAGACUUAAUCAA
Molecule: ribosomal RNA, 141 nt
Filed under: Staphylococcus aureus
Lineage: Bacteria; Bacillati; Bacillota; Bacilli; Caryophanales; Staphylococcaceae
Description: partial 23S ribosomal RNA
Rfam family: Bacterial large subunit ribosomal RNA
Source: RNAcentral